UGGGGAAUAUUGGACAAUGGGCGAAAGCCUGAUCCAGCCAUGCCGCGGGUGUGAAGAAGGUCUUCGGAUUGUAAAGCACUUUAAGUUGGGAGGAAGGGCAGUAAGCGAAUACCUUGCUGUUUUGACGUUACCGACAGAAUAAGCACCGGCUAACUCUGUGCCAGCAGCCGCGGUAAUACAGAGGGUGCAAGCGUUAAUCGGAAUUACUGGGCGUAAAGCGCGCGUAGGUGGUUCGUUAAGUUGAAUGUGAAAGCCCCGGGCUCAAGCUGGGAACUGCAUCUAAAACUGGCGAGCUAGAGUAGGGCAGAGGGUGGUGGAAUUUCCUGUGUAGCGGUGAAAUGCGUAGAUAUAGGGAGGAACACCAGUGGCGAAGGCGACCACCUGGGCUCAUACUGACCCUGAGGUGCGAAAGCGUGGGGAGCAAACAGG
Molecule: ribosomal RNA, 429 nt
Filed under: Pseudomonadota bacterium
Lineage: Bacteria; Pseudomonadati; Pseudomonadota
Description: Proteobacteria bacterium partial 16S ribosomal RNA
Rfam family: Bacterial small subunit ribosomal RNA
Source: RNAcentral